AUGCUUCUACAGAAGGCAGACAGCUUCAUGGGACGCUUGAAAACGCUGUCCAGUCGCCGCUGCAGCAGCACGCCAUGUCUGAAAGUUCCUCAGGUCUGAACACGAGCUGCCUCAGAUUCUGCACCUCCCAUUCGUCUCCUUGCUCUGAUCUCAGUGAUAUAGACACCCCUUUGCCUGUCUUAUCAUCAAGGAACAGAGGACUACACCAGCCCAGCUGUGAUUCUGGCAUUGCCUCUCCACUUCCAUCUGAUUCAUUCAAGUAUCUCACCUGGCAUGAAUUAGAAGAACAUGAUGUUCGAGGGAGUCAAAU
Non-coding RNA from Pogona vitticeps (central bearded dragon), 310 nucleotides. NCBI's taxonomy places the organism in Eukaryota, Metazoa, Chordata, Lepidosauria, Squamata, Agamidae. The record is from RefSeq and is a predicted model, not a curated record.